RNAcentral lists this ribosomal RNA (805 nucleotides) under uncultured bacterium. RNAcentral describes it as "bacterial SSU rRNA". It matches the Rfam family "Bacterial small subunit ribosomal RNA", at positions 8 to 797 of the family's 1533-position model. The record is from RNAcentral.
AGAGUUUGAUCCUGGCUCAUAGUGAACGCUGGCGGUAGGCCUAACACAUGCAAGUCGAACGGCAGCACAGUAAGAACUUGCUCUUACGGGUGGCGAGUGGCGGACGGGUGAGGAAUACAUCGGAAUCUACUUUUUCGUGGGGGAUAACGUAGGGAAACUUACGCUAAUACCGCAUACGACCUACGGGUGAAAGCAGGGGAUCUUCGGACCUUGCGCGAUUGAAUGAGCCGAUGUCGGAUUAGCUAGUUGGCGGGGUAAAGGCCCACCAAGGCGACGAUCCGUAGCUGGUCUGAGAGGAUGAUCAGCCACACUGGAACUGAGACACGGUCCAGACUCCUACGGGAGGCAGCAGUGGGGAAUAUUGGACAAUGGGCGCAAGCCUGAUCCAGCCAUACCGCGUGGGUGAAGAAGGCCUUCGGGUUGUAAAGCCCUUUUGUUGGGAAAGAAAUCCAGCUGGUUAAUACCCGGUUGGGAUGACGGUACCCAAAGAAUAAGCACCGGCUAACUUCCUGCCAGCAGCCGCGGUAAUACGAAGGGUGCAAGCGUUACUCGGAAUUACUGGGCGUAAAGCGUGCGUAGGUGGUUGUUUAAGUCUGUUGCGAAAGCCCUGGGCUCAACCUGGGGAGCUGCAGUGGAAACUGGACGACUAGAGUGUGGUAGAGGGUAGCGGAAUUCCUGGUGUAGCAAUUGAAAUGCGUAUAGAUCAGGAGGAACAUCCAUGGCGAAGGCAGCUACCUGGACCAACACUGACACUGAGGCACNAAAGCGUGGGGAGCAAACAGGAUUAGAUACCCCUGGUAGUCCA